Molecule: ribosomal RNA, 600 nt
Filed under: uncultured Ascomycota
Lineage: Eukaryota; Fungi; Ascomycota
Description: LSU rRNA
Rfam family: Eukaryotic large subunit ribosomal RNA (bases 234-600)
Source: RNAcentral
GCGAGACCUAGUCCCCCCUCUCUAAAAGGGGGGGCGACAUUGUCAAAUUGCGGGGAUGUCCUAAAGGCUUUGAUACCAAGCGGGCGGUGGAAACGCCUCCGUGGCCGGGCCGAAAAGACCUCGGGUAGGGUGGAAAUGCAGAGCAUGAGCCUCGUGGUGAAAUGGACGAUCCGCAGCCAAGUCCUAAGGCCGUCGGCUAUGGACGCAGUUCACGGACUAAAUGGCAAUGGGCCUGGAUGGCUUAAGUUAUAGUCGGUCCGCCCCGAGAGGGGUCUAUGGAUGAGAGUCCAUGGGAUAUGGGGAUUGUAUGCUAGUAGCUGGUUCCUGCCGAAGUUUCCCUCAGGAUAGCAGAAGCUUGUACAGUUUUAUGAGGUAAAGCGAAUGAUUAGAGGCCUUGGGGUCGAAAUGACCUUAACCUAUUCUCAAACUUUAAAUAUGUAAGAAGUCCUUGUCACUUAGUUGGACCUGGACACUCGAAUGAGAGCUUCUAGUGGGCCAUUUUUGGUAAGCAGAACUGGCGAUGCGGGAUGAACCGAACGUGGGGUUAAGGUGCCGGAAUGCACGCUCAUCAGACACCAUAAAAGGUGUUGGUUCAUCUAG